AAUCAACGCUGGCGGCGUGCCUAACACAUGCAAGUCGAACGCGAAAACCCCGCAAGGGGUAAGUAGAGUGGCAAACGGGUGAGUAACACGUGGGUGACCUGCCUUCGAGCGGGGGAUAACGUCCCGAAAGGGACGCUAAUACCGCAUGACAUCCUGCUUUUCAAGAAGCGGAGAUCAAAGCUGGGGAUCGCAAGACCUAGCACUCGAAGAGGGGCCCGCGCCUGAUUAGCUAGUUGGUGGGGUAACGGCUCACCAAGGCGACGAUCAGUAGCCGGCCUGAGAGGGCGGACGGCCACACUGGGACUGAGACACGGCCCAGACUCCUACGGGAGGCAGCAGUGGGGAAUUGUUCGCAAUGGGCGCAAGCCUGACGACGCAACGCCGCGUGGAGGAUGAAGACCUUCGGGUCGUAAACUCCUUUCGAUCGAGACGAACGGCCUCCGGGUGAACAAUCCGGAGGAGUGACGGUACCGAGAGAAGAAGCCCCGGCUAACUCCGUGC
This 501-nucleotide ribosomal RNA is filed under the name uncultured bacterium. Its description in RNAcentral is "bacterial SSU rRNA". It matches the Rfam family "Bacterial small subunit ribosomal RNA", at positions 29 to 508 of the family's 1533-position model. The record is from RNAcentral.